AGAGCGCUUGGGAAUCUGCGACCGAUCGUCCAGAGAGGGCAGACUACCAGAGCGAGGUUACACAGCGCUGGCCGCGGUGGCGCGCGAACUUGGAAACCUGGGUUGUUGAGUGGGUCGGCAGGAAGGUGUUUUGGCUGCGUUCACUGUGGGGGUUCUUGCCUCUAGGAUCGGGUGCCCCCUCCCGGUGACCCGCUUCCUGGAGAACCCUUGUUUUGGGCAGCAGUACCUGGCUGGCUAUCGCAUCUCUGGAAUUCGUGGCCGGGCACCUGUCCUCCCUCUGACUGGGGCUCUGUCCGUGCUUCUCCCUAAGCCCGUUUUUCUACCCGCACAAUCGGGACCACAUAGCAUCUACCUCCUUAAGAAAACGAAGAGAUAAAGAGUAGAGGGUUUGUGCUGCUUGGACUCCCACCAACUACAGCUACUGGCCCAGAGGAGAUCCGCCAUGACCCAUGCUGCAGGAAUUGGCUUCCUGGCUAAGAUAGGCAGAGGAAAGCAGCAAUAACAACAACAACAACAGGACCCCAGGGAGAACGCUCAGAUGAAGAGCUUGCCACGUGAAUUGAGGACUGGAGUUCUGAUGCCCAGAACUUAUGCAAACCAGGUGAGGUGCUGUGAGUCUGUAAUCCUGGCACUCCACAGCCAGAUGGGAGGUGGAGACAGGGGGCUUAGGCACCAGCUAGUCCUUCAAUCGCAGACGGUGACGACGAGAGAGCCCGUCUCAAGCAAGCAGACGCUGAGGGCAAA
This is a long non-coding RNA of Mus caroli (Ryukyu mouse), 744 nucleotides long. RefSeq lists it as uncharacterized. NCBI's taxonomy places the organism in Eukaryota, Metazoa, Chordata, Mammalia, Rodentia, Muridae. The record is from RefSeq and is a predicted model, not a curated record.